CGACGACCGGCGGACGGGUGAGUAACACGUAUGCAANUUGCCUUUAACUGGAGGAUAGCUUCGGGAAACCGUAAUUAAUACUCCAUAGUAUUCAAAAGACGCAUGUAUUUUGAAUUANAGCUCCNGGCGGUUAAGAUAAGCAUGCGGGACAUUAGCUAGUUGGUAAGGUAACGGCUUACCAAGGCGACGAUGUCUAGGGGGUAUGAGAGGAUGAUCCCCCACACUGGUACUGAGACACGGACCAGACUCCUACGGGAGGCAGCAGUGAGGGAAUAUUGGGCAAUGGGCGCAAGCCUGACCCAGCCAUGCCGCGUGCAGGAUGAAGGUCCUAUGGAUCGUAGACUGCUUUAGUAUGGGAAGAACUUCCCCGCAUUCGUGCGGGAUUGACGGUACUAUACGAAUAAGGACCGGCUAACUCCGUGCCAGCAGCCGCGGUAAUACGGAGGGUCCAAGCGUUAUCCGGAUUCACUGGGUUUACAGGGUGCGUAGGUGGAACGAUAAGUCGAUGGUGAAAGCCUACAGCUUAACUGUACAAUUGCCAUUGAUAC
RNAcentral lists this ribosomal RNA (548 nucleotides) under uncultured organism. RNAcentral describes it as "bacterial SSU rRNA". It matches the Rfam family "Bacterial small subunit ribosomal RNA", at positions 89 to 633 of the family's 1533-position model. The record is from RNAcentral.